GAUGAACGCUGGCGGCGUGCCUAAUACAUGCAAGUCGAGCGAACAGACGAGGAGCUUGCUCCUCUGACGUUAGCGGCGGACGGGUGAGUAACACGUGGAUAACCUACCUAUAAGACUGGGAUAACUUCGGGAAACCGGAGCUAAUACCGGAUAAUAUAUUGAACCGCAUGGUUCAAUAGUGAAAGACGGUUUUGCUGUCACUUAUAGAUGGAUCCGCGCCGCAUUAGCUAGUUGGUAAGGUAACGGCUUACCAAGGCAACGAUGCGUAGCCGACCUGAGAGGGUGAUCGGCCACACUGGAACUGAGACACGGUCCAGACUCCUACGGGAGGCAGCAGUAGGGAAUCUUCCGCAAUGGGCGAAAGCCUGACGGGGCAACGCCGCGUGAGUGAUGAAGGUCUUCGGAUCGUAAAACUCUGUUAUUAGGGAAGAACAAAUGUGUAAGUAACUAUGCACGUCUUGACGGUACCGAAUCAGAAAGCCACGGCUAACUACGU
This 496-nucleotide ribosomal RNA is filed under the name uncultured bacterium. RNAcentral's name for it is "partial 16S ribosomal RNA". It matches the Rfam family "Bacterial small subunit ribosomal RNA", at positions 28 to 506 of the family's 1533-position model. The record is from RNAcentral.